ACGAACGCUGGCGGCGUGCCUAACACAUGCAAGUCAACUUGACUGAAGGGGCAAUCUGACAGUAGAGUGGCGCAAGGGUGCGUAACGCGUAAGUAACUUGCCCCAAGGUAAGGAGUAACGUCGAGAAAUCGGCGCUAAUACCUCAUAAUGCAGCGGAUCCGCAUGGAUAUGUUGUUAAAGGUUUACCGCCUUGGGAUAGGCUUGCGUCUGAUUAGUUAGUUGGUGUGGUAACGGCACACCAAGGCUACGAUCAGUAACUGGUCUGAGAGGAUGAUCAGUCACACUGGAACUGAGACACGGUCCAGACUCCUACGGGAGGCAGCAGUGAGGAAUAUUGGGCAAUGCUCGAAAGAGUGACCCAGCAACGCCGCGUGGAGGAUGAAGGUAUUCUAUAUCGUAAACUCCUGUGAGAGCAGACGAAAGACAGAUUAUUAAUCUGGAUGACUGUAUGCUCAGAGGAAGCCCCGGCUAACUACGUG
This 479-nucleotide ribosomal RNA is filed under the name uncultured bacterium. Its description in RNAcentral is "bacterial SSU rRNA". It matches the Rfam family "Bacterial small subunit ribosomal RNA", at positions 29 to 507 of the family's 1533-position model. The record is from RNAcentral.